This 260-nucleotide unclassified non-coding RNA is filed under the name Hevea brasiliensis (rubber tree). The record is from RNAcentral. Lineage: Eukaryota; Viridiplantae; Streptophyta; Magnoliopsida; Malpighiales; Euphorbiaceae.
GUUUUCUCAGGUCAUCUGAACUGGGAUACUCUGAAAGCUAAAACUUGGGUUUAGAUUCAAGAGUUGAACAACAAAAACAAUGAAAAAGAUGCGUAUUUCUUUUAUCUGGGUGUGGUGUUUUGUUCCAGGAUUUCUUUCAACUCAGCGUCUAAAAAGAAAUUUGCCUUUAUAUUUCAGAUUUAUAGGAAGUUCAUUUUUGUCAUUUUAGCAUGCAAUUUUUUGUUUAUGGACUCUACAUGGCAUUAUUGUUUAUGUGUGGC